Molecule: ribosomal RNA, 363 nt
Filed under: uncultured bacterium
Lineage: Bacteria
Description: partial 16S ribosomal RNA
Rfam family: Bacterial small subunit ribosomal RNA
Source: RNAcentral
CCUACGGGUGGCAGCAGUAGGGAAUAUUGCUCAAUGGGGGAAACCCUGAAGCAGCAACGCCGCGUGGAGGAUGAAGGUCUUCGGCUCGUAAACUCCUGUCGUCAGAGAAGAUAAUGACGGUAUCUAACGAAUAAGCACCGGCUAACUCCGUGCCAGCAGCCGCGGUAAUACGGAGGGUGCAAGCGUUACCCGGAUUUACUGGGCGUAAAGAGCGCGUAGGCGGGAUAGCAAGGCAGAUGUUAAAUCCUAUGGCGUAACCAUAGAACUGCAUUUGAAACUGUUAUUCUAGAGUAUGGGAGAGGUAGGUGGGAUUCUUGGGGUGGGGGUAAGAACCGGAGAGAUCAAGAGGGAUACUCAUUGCGA